GACGAACGCUGGCGGCGUGCUUUACACAUGCAAGUCGAACGGUGAAGCGCCUUCCUUUUUGGUGGGUGUGGAUGAGUGGCGAACGGGUGAGUAACACGUGAGUAACCUGCCCCCUUCUUCUGGAUAACCGCAUGAAAGUGUGGCUAAUACGGGAUAUUCUGGGUCUGUCGCAUGAUGGGUCUGGGAAAGAUAUUGUUUCGGUGGGGGAUGGGCUCGCGGCCUAUCAGCUUGUUGGUGGGGUGAUGGCCUACCAAGGCGGUGACGGGUAGCCGGCCUGAGAGGGUGGACGGUCACACUGGGACUGAGACACGGCCCAGACUCCUACGGGAGGCAGCAGUGGGGAAUAUUGCACAAUGGGCGCAAGCCUGAUGCAGCGACGCCGCGUGAGGGAUGGAGGCCUGCGGGUUGUGAACCUCUUUCGCCAGUGAAGCAGGCCUGCCUCGUUUGUGGGUGGGUUGACGGUAGCUGGAGAAGAAGCGCCGGCUAACUACGUG
Molecule: ribosomal RNA, 494 nt
Filed under: uncultured bacterium
Lineage: Bacteria
Description: partial 16S ribosomal RNA
Rfam family: Bacterial small subunit ribosomal RNA
Source: RNAcentral